UACGUAGGGUGCGAGCGUUAUCCGGAAUUAUUGGGCGUAAAGAGCUCGUAGGCGGCUUGUCGCGUCGACUGUGAAAUCCCGCGGCUCAACUGCGGGUCUGCAGUCGAUACGGGCAGGCUAGAGUUCGGUAGGGGAGACUGGAGUUCCCGGUGUAGCGGUGGAAUGCGCAGAUAUCAGGAGGAACACCGAUGGCGAAGGCAGAUCUCUGGGCCGUAACUGACGCUGAGGAGCGAAAGCAUGGGGAGCGAACAGG
This 253-nucleotide ribosomal RNA is filed under the name uncultured bacterium. RNAcentral's name for it is "partial 16S ribosomal RNA". It matches the Rfam family "Bacterial small subunit ribosomal RNA", at positions 524 to 776 of the family's 1533-position model. The record is from RNAcentral.